GNAAACGCUAGCGGCAGGCUUCAUACAUGCAAGUCGAGGGCGGUUAGGUUCUUUCGGGGACUUAACUGACCGGCAAACGGGUGCGUAACGCGUAUGUAACCUACCCACAACAGAGGAAUAGCUCCAAGAAAUUGGAAUUAAUGCUUCAUAAUACACAAGGGCGGCAUCGUUCUUAUGUUAAGGGUUCUGUUAUCAGUUCUGGUUGUGGCUGGGCAUGCGUCCCAUUAGCUAGUUGGUUUGGUAACGGCAGACCAAGACGACGAUGGGUAGGGGUUCUGAGAGGAAGUGCCCCCACACUGGCACUGCGAUACGGGCCAGACUCCUACGGGAGGCAGCAGUAGGGAAUAUUGGGCAAUGGACGCAAGUCUGACCCAGCCAUGCCGUGUGCAGGAAGACAGUCUUCGUGACUGUAAACUGCUUUUAAACAGGAAUAAAGAUAGGGAUGCGUCCCUGUUUUGAAUGUACUGUAAGAAUAAGCACCGGCUAACUCCGUGCCAGCAGCCGCGGUAAU
Molecule: ribosomal RNA, 511 nt
Filed under: uncultured bacterium
Lineage: Bacteria
Description: bacterial SSU rRNA
Rfam family: Bacterial small subunit ribosomal RNA
Source: RNAcentral